RNAcentral lists this long non-coding RNA (1220 nucleotides) under Ananas comosus (pineapple). RNAcentral describes it as "long non-coding RNA (ACOM_LNC027839)". The record is from RNAcentral. Lineage: Eukaryota; Viridiplantae; Streptophyta; Magnoliopsida; Poales; Bromeliaceae.
CAGUUUGCGUUCGACUCGAUAUUUGGCUCGUUCGAGCUCGACUCGAAAUUAAAUGAGCCGAACUUGAACCAAAAAAAAAAAGGUUUGAAAUUCAUUUCAAGCCGAGCUGGAGCAUUACUCGGCUCGUUUGAAUUAGGCUCGGAAAGCUCGAAAAGCUCGAAUAUAUAUAUAUAAUAGAACUACUAUGCUAUUGAAAGUAUAGAAGAUCCAAGCUUUCGAUUUUUUGAUUCUUAGAUCAACCCUUUUAAUCAUUUCUUAUCUUUGGAUUAAUACUAUUAUAUUACCUUAUAAGGACCACUCAAUCCUAGGGAUAUUAUUUAAUCCUAAGGGGGACCGCAAUCAUUCCAACCAUACAAUUCUUAAUCAAAAGGUUAAAAAUUCGAAAACAUCAAAUCCUCUAUAUUUUCGAUAGCAUGAUAGUUCUACACUUAUAUAUUAAAAAAUAUAUAAAUAUAAUAUAUUUUAAUUAUAUAUAGGCCAAGUAAAUAAUCUCGGUUUAGUUAAAAUUGGACCAAUGUUGUUGGCCCAUAAAAACAAAUCCAAUAGACAAAUAAAAGAGCAAAAUUUCACUAAAUUUAUACAUUUUUCCUUUCUUUCUUUCUUUCUUUCACAGAGCUCUAAAUUUUCAAUAUGUUUCUCUCUUUUUCUUUUUCUGUCUCUCACCCUAAAUAGCCAAGCCGAAAGCCCUUCAAGUUACCAAGUAACAGCAUAUGUCCGCCAUUGUCUACCUUGCUAUUAAUUAUAUGCUUGAAAAAAUAUACAGAAUAUUUUUAAAAUAGAAAAUUAUUAUUCAUAUAAAAUUUUAAUUUUAGUUAUAUAUGAUUGGAUUAGUUUAAUCCAAUAUUUAUCAAUAUAAUUUAUUUAUUUUUGACCGCAUAAAUGAAAAUGAAUAAUAUGGAGAUUGAAAGCGGAAGAGAAGACUUGUGAGGCCGAAAAGAUUAGAUAUUCAACUCAUAAAUUAUUUUUCUUCAUAUUAUAAUACUAUAUUUCAUAUAAUUAUUUUGUACUUUGAACUAUUAAACAUAUUUUUGUAUCAAAUUAUAGAUAAUAUUCUACACAAAUUAAACUAUUGAUUGUAUAAUGUUAAGAAUUUCAAGCGGCUCGUUUAGGGCUCAAGCUCGCUCGACUCGAAAUUAGGCUCGCUCGAGCUCGACUCGAAUUAAUUUCAAUCCAAACUUGAGCUUAAAUUUAGACUCGAAAUUAAUUUCAAGCCGAAUUUG